This 429-nucleotide ribosomal RNA is filed under the name Chloroflexota bacterium. RNAcentral's name for it is "Chloroflexi bacterium partial 16S ribosomal RNA". It matches the Rfam family "Bacterial small subunit ribosomal RNA", at positions 355 to 776 of the family's 1533-position model. The record is from RNAcentral. Lineage: Bacteria; Bacillati; Chloroflexota.
UGGGGAAUAUUGCACAAUGGGCGCAAGCCUGAUGCAGCCAUGCCGCGUGUAUGAAGAAGGCCUUCGGGUUGUAAAGUACUUUCAGCGGGGAGGAAGGGAGUAAAGUUAAUACCUUUGCUCAUUGACGUUACCCGCAGAAGAAGCACCGGCUAACUCCGUUCCAGCAGCCGCGGUAAUACGGAGGGUGCAAGCGUUAAUCGGAAUUACUGGGCGUAAAGCGCACGCAGGCGGUCUGUCAAGUCGGAUGUGAAAUCCCCGGGCUCAACCUGGGAACUUCAUUCGAAACUGGCAGGCUAGAGUCUUGUGGAGGGGGGUAGAAUUCCAGGUGUAGCGGUGAAAUGCGUAGAGAUCUGGAGGAAUACCGGUGGCGAAGGCGGCCCCCUGGACAAAGACUGACGCUCAGGUGCGAAAGCGUGGGGAGCAAACAGG